UUGCACGCUGGCGGCAGGCCUAACACAUGCAAGUCGAACGGUAACAGAAAGCAGCUUGCUGCUUUGCUGACGAGUGGCGGACGGGUGAGUAAUGUCUGGGAAACUGCCUGAUGGAGGGGGAUAACUACUGGAAACGGUAGCUAAUACCGCAUAACGUCGCAAGACCAAAGAGGGGGACCUUCGGGCCUCUUGCCAUCGGAUGUGCCCAGAUGGGAUUAGCUAGUAGGUGGGGUAAAGGCUCACCUAGGCGACGAUCCCUAGCUGGUCUGAGAGGAUGACCAGCCACACUGGAACUGAGACACGGUCCAGACUCCUACGGGAGGCAGCAGUGGGGAAUAUUGCACAAUGGGCGCAAGCCUGAUGCAGCCAUGCCGCGUGUAUGAAGAAGGCCUUCGGGUUGUAAAGUACUUUCAGCGGGGAGGAAGGGAGUAAAGUUAAUACCUUUGCUCAUUGACGUUACCCUCAGAAGAAGCACCGGCUAACUCCGUG
This 489-nucleotide ribosomal RNA is filed under the name uncultured bacterium. RNAcentral describes it as "partial 16S ribosomal RNA". It matches the Rfam family "Bacterial small subunit ribosomal RNA", at positions 30 to 507 of the family's 1533-position model. The record is from RNAcentral.